This 3117-nucleotide long non-coding RNA is filed under the name Triticum aestivum (bread wheat). RNAcentral's name for it is "long non-coding RNA (TAES_LNC002350)". Lineage: Eukaryota; Viridiplantae; Streptophyta; Magnoliopsida; Poales; Poaceae. The record is from RNAcentral.
UCUUGUCCAACUUUGGCGUGCAAGGUCAGCUAUAAACUAGGGAAUCAACACAUGUUCUCUUUAAUUUACAAGGCUACAAGUUACACUCAAAGUGAAUACGACUCAAUUGUAUGAGAAAGGGGGCACCUGACCCACCCAAAGAGUUAUAUGUGUCCUAGUAGAAACUUCUAAACACAAACAUCAUCUGCAUAGUUUGCACUCCAUAGUACUAAACAAGAUUGACUUGUUGAAGGCUGGAGCAGAGCACCUGAAUCUGGCUUAGAAUGCACGUUCCGUCUGAGCACUGGUGGGCUAAUCCUUCCACAAGUGCAAUCACCUGAACAUAUAUUUGUUCAGGCUAUUAAAGACAUAAAAGAAGAACACAACUGGCAAGGACUCGAGAGCUAUAAAACCUUCUUUUUGCCAACAUACAUUACUUGAAAGGAAAGCAAUGGCGCUUCGGUUAUCAAGAAUGAGACGAGGAAGCGAGUAAAAAGGAAGAACAUAACCUACCACAAUUUUAAAAAUAAUACUAUGUGUUCUUUGGUGGAAACCAUUUGCACAAUGUUGGCAAAUGACUAUGAGCAAUAACAUUGAUAUGUAAAUAUCGUAUAAUUCAGCCCAACUAAAAGGCAUUGUCUUGUAGAAGUAUAUAUUGUCUAAUUAUUGGAUUAUAUGUGAUAUUGACGGAACCACAAAUGAUAGGUUGUGUGUGUGAAAUGGUCAAAAUUCAGAUUGUAUGACCAAGCAAUUUUUUAGUACUAGUUUCUAAGCCUUAAAGAUGACACUAAUGCAGAGUUAUUACUAAAGAAUUUAAAUAUUGUUGGAAGUUUGAGAUUCGGAAUUUAUACCUGUACAAUACAGAACUACAUCAGCAGGGUGAGAGGUCAACAAGGAACCAAUAUAGAAUUCAGCUCCUCCAAUUUCCUAGACGAACGUAUAUGGAAUACAAGAGAGUAGUUAUAACUACAUAACCAUGGAAUUAAGGAAAUGAUACAGAGAUUGCUAGAAGCAAACUACGGAUCCCUCAUUAGAAUAUCAUCAGAAGGUAAGCAAUUUAGCUCCUCUAGCAUUAUAUCCUUCAUUGUGAUAGCUCUCACCUUAUUGUUGUUGGCCCUAGCUUAGAAUGUUGUUGACACUUACUCAAACCAGAAAGCUGAUUUCUUCAAAAGAACUAAUUUGCAGGCAAUUGAGUGUGUGUUUCAAGGAGCCUUUGUUGCUGCGUGUGUACUGUAUGAGCACCUAGGUGCAUGUUAUUAUUGUUACAUGGUUCUCGUACCUGCAGAUGCUAAUGGGGCCCGCUCAUUACAAUUGGUCAUGGGAACCUUACGAACUGACAACGUGCUAUUAAAUUAGCUAGAAGUCAUUUGCAACCAAUGCUAUGAGAUAAACUGAUCAAAAUAAGAUAGAGCAUAGCUGAUUAACAGCACUUGCAUACUGGAAGUGGCGAGAAGUAAAACAUAUCUUGGAAUAGGAAAUGAGACUGGAAAUUAGGUAACAAAUAAGAAAACAACUUACAUGCUAUCGGCACAUGUCAUGCUCUGUAUUAUCUCAUUUCACUCCCGAAGCUAGCUGCAGAACAAUGAAAAAAAUAGAGAAAAGUAGAAGGAUGAGCAAUGCAGUCUAUAUCAUGACACAUAUAGUCUAAACCUCAGAUUAGGUUGCCCAAACAUAAUCUGAACUUUCGUUUGUCGCAUAUAGUUGAAAAUAUGCAAAUGAGGAGUGUAGACUUUACAAAAGUAUUGUCCUCACUAAAAUAAACGGUUAUAUGAAAUAAAUCAGUAAGAUUUAAUAGUACUCCUUUUCUUUCUAACCAUAACCAUGUUUAGCUGAAAGGUCUAUGCUAACAAUAUAAGCAUUAAUUUAGAGAAUAGCCGAAUGGCCAUGCGUUGUAGCAGUUUAAAAAGCAUAUUACUGUAGCAUGUCAACCUGCACACGCUGCCCAGCUUGCUAUAGUUGGUCCACGACAUGCCCUUGGCUCUACUGUGUAUCAAUCUGAGCUUUACCUCAACACCACAAACAGACAUGCUCAUGUUCAGCCUACAACAAUUAAAUUUUGGAAUUAAGAAAUGUGACAUUUUAGGGAAAAAAUAUCAUAGCCUACCAAACAUAAACUACAAUGUAUCAUAUCAACAUCAUCUGCCUUCCAGAAGCAUUUAAAAGCAACUCAAAUUGAAUUUUGGUGUUGGAUCUGAUUACCUGAGAUCAUCUGCAAUGACAUGGUAUGUAAUCAAGAAAGAUGGCAAUGUAAAAUAAAUUAUUAUUGAAUCUGACUUGAGAUAGUAGACUAACUUAGUGGCAUUUCAUCAAGGACUAUCAUUAAUCACGGAGUUCAUUAUCACAAAAAAGAGGGCCAAUUGUCUAUUAGAAUGCACAUGGGAGAAUAUAUUGAAGCAGAAAUAGAAUAUAGGGCUGCAUGUCUCAGUAAAAAAUAUAAUGUUGAAACAAUAUAUAAAUUAUGAACUUAUCAUAAUGUAGAAAAUAUGGAACAUAGCAUUACAUGAGGUAUUUUCAUGGAGAAAAAUGGGUACCCAUGUGAUAAUUCUAACUAACACGAUACUUUGAAAUUUCUGUCAUAUACUUAUUGACAUGAGCAUGGGAAUCAGAGCAUGUAAAUGUGGUGAACCACAAAUGAUAGGUUGUCUAUGUGAAAUGCUAAAAUUUCAGAUUGUAUGACCAAAAAAGUUUAUAUGUUGAAACCGGAAGCACGGCUUCUAGUUUAUAUGCUGUAGACACUGAACUUUGUAUCUACUACCCCUGACAAAGUUGCAUCCUUUGUAUCUACGAUCCAGAAAAAAAUAGCUUCCUUUCUGAGUAGAAAAAAGCAUAAAUUCUUCCAAUUCCAUGAGCCAGGGCAGCUGCACUCUUCCAAUUUGUCUCUACAAAACUGUUCCAGCUGGAGCGGGCCACCAUAUCAAAAAUGGAUUUAGAAGAGUGGCAAUACAAUCAGUGUAGAGCAGAACAACACACAAGUCAAGAUUUGGUGGAGAGGGGAAGGGACCAUACCAUGAAAACCAGAGGGAGGCCAAGGUCCGGUGUCUCGUCGAGGCAUCGGUCCAGCAGCUCGUCAAGGCGGAGGUCUUGCGGCUCGGCCACGACGUCCCAGUACAAAUUGCCUCUGUCUCCGCCACCGGCGUC